AUUGAACGCUGGCGGCAUGCUUUACACAUGCCAGUCGAACGGCAGCGCGGGCUUCGGCCUGGCGGCGAGUGGCGAACGGGUGAGUAAUGCAUCGGAACGUGCCCAGUAGUGGGGGAUAGCCCGGCGAAAGCCGGAUUAAUACCGCAUACGACCUGAGGGUGAAAGCGGGGGACCGAAAGGCCUCGCGCUAUUGGAGCGGCCGAUGUCGGAUUAGCUAGUUGGUGGGGUAAAGGCUUACCAAGGCGACGAUCCGUAGCUGGUCUGAGAGGACGACCAGCCACACUGGGACUAAGACACGGCCCAGACUCCUACGGGAGGCAGCAGUGGGGAAUUUUGGACAAUGGGGGCAACCCUGAUCCAGCCAUGCCGCGUGCGGGAAGAAGGCCUUCGGGUUGUAAACCGCUUUUGUUCGGGAAGAAAUCCUCUGGGCUAAUACCCCGGGGGGAUGACGGUACCGGAAGAAUAAGCACCGGCUAACUACGUG
This 484-nucleotide ribosomal RNA is filed under the name uncultured bacterium. Its description in RNAcentral is "partial 16S ribosomal RNA". It matches the Rfam family "Bacterial small subunit ribosomal RNA", at positions 28 to 507 of the family's 1533-position model. The record is from RNAcentral.